This 1530-nucleotide long non-coding RNA is filed under the name Astyanax mexicanus (Mexican tetra). Its description in RNAcentral is "lncRNA (ENSAMXG00005001276.1)". The record is from RNAcentral. Lineage: Eukaryota; Metazoa; Chordata; Actinopteri; Characiformes; Acestrorhamphidae.
UCUCUCCCCCCAGACUAAGUGCUUCAUCUGCGGAAUAGGAAGUGACUACUUUGACACGACUCCUCAUGGAUUUGAAACACAUACUCUGGAAGAGCACAAUUUGGCCAACUACAUGUGAGUGGAUCAAUUCCAGGAUUCAGAGUGAUAUUACUGUUCAUUAUUACAUUUUUUUGUUCUUGCAAAAAAUCUUAUUUUAUCCUUUGUGCCCUUUCCUGACAGGUUCUUCCUGAUGUAUUUAAUCAAUAAAGAUGAGACGGAGCACACUGGACAGGAAUCGUAUGUGUGGAAGAUGUACCAGGAGCGAUGCUGGGACUUCUUCCCAGCCGGGGACUGUUUCAGAAAGCAAUAUGAGGAUCAGCUCGGCUAACUCUCAGUGCCAUAGAGUAUAUGAUAUAGUGUGUGUGCUUGUGUGUGUGUGUGUGUGAGGGCGUGGGGGUGUGUCUGAGGACAAUAAUGCCAACAAAGUAGUAAUGCCAUCUAAAAAAAACAAGAAACAGAAACAAAAUUUUUCAUUUUUUCAAUUUGAGUAACUAAACUACCCAUACUCUGAAGCACACACUCACACCCUGAGCCUUUUACCUACCUGUGUGUGUGUGUGUGUGUGUGUGUGUGUGAGUGCGUGAGUGAAUAAGUGAAAGAGGGUGUGAGUUGAGAGAUGAAUAAUAAGCAGUGUGUGUGUUUUUUUGUGUGUGAAAGAGAGAGAGGGAGCAGAAUGAGGACGAUUUGUGAGGAGGAUUGUACACACAGCCUUUCUAUUUUAUUAUUGAGGGAAAAUGUUUAAAGGAUAAAACGAUCCCUCGGUUCCUCCCUCCUUCUCUCAGUCCCGUCUUCGUGUCGUUACGGAUCUUAAAACAUCACAGUGCCUAAUACUGAAUCAGCUACAAUGAUGAGAAGUAUGAAGAUAUUCUACUGCUUUAUUGGGAGUCAGUAUUGAUCUUUUUUUAGACGCAGUAAGUGAAUGAGUAUUUAAGACUUUAGUGUAAAGUAUGUACGUUUUUUGUCUAUAUUUAUUUAUGUGUAUAUAGACGUUACACGUGCCGGAGCCACAGAACUAGAGCCACUUCACUGCUGAUCUCCUGCUCUGUGAGCUACUCACGGUUUUAAUCCAGGCUGUUGCUCUGUGCGGCGGUAAAUAUAUAUAUGACCGUUUGUAUAGAAACACACUUCUUAUGAGAAAAGAAAGAAACUCUAAAUGCCUUCCUCACUCCGUUUCUUUCUGUAGACGAUUUCUUAUAAACUACUUAAACUACGAACUCUCUUUUUUAACUGUUGUUGGUGGUGAGACAUGAGCUUUGAGCCAGUACUUUGUACUUAUCUUCAACAACCUAUUCUGCACUCCAAAGUCUUAGGAUGAGACACUGUUUCCAUCCCCCGUUACACACAUUUUUCUUUUACUUACUUCUACAGAAACACUGUUAGCUGGAAAAGUCCAGCAAACGGAUGUAUGAAAAUAUAGAAAUACAGUAUUUACGGCCUCCUGUCUACACUCUUAAAAAUAAAGACGCUUCAGGUGUUUUUUUAAUAGAUGCC